GAUGAACGCUGGCGGCGUGCCUAAUACAUGCAAGUCGAGCGAACAGACGAGGAGCUUGCUCCUCUGACGUUAGCGGCGGACGGGUGAGUAACACGUGGAUAACCUACCUAUAAGACUGGGAUAACUUCGGGAAACUGGAGCUAAUACCGGAUAAUAUAUUGAACCGCAUGGUUCAAUAGUGAAAGACGGUUUUGCUGUCACUUAUAGAUGGAUCCGCGCCGCAUUAGCUAGUUGGUAAGGUAACGGCUUACCAAGGCGACGAUGCGUAGCCGACCUGAGAGGGUGAUCGGCCACACUGGAGCUGAGACACGGUCCAGACUCCUACGGGAGGCAGCAGUAGGGAAUCUUCCGCAAUGGGCGAAAGCCUGACGGAGCAACGCCGCGUGAGUGAUGAAGGUCUUCGGAUCGUAAAACUCUGUUAUUAGGGAAGAACAAAUGUGUAAGUAACUAUGCACGUCUUGACGGUACCUAAUCAGAAAGCCACGGCUAACUACGUG
This 497-nucleotide ribosomal RNA is filed under the name uncultured bacterium. RNAcentral's name for it is "partial 16S ribosomal RNA". It matches the Rfam family "Bacterial small subunit ribosomal RNA", at positions 28 to 507 of the family's 1533-position model. The record is from RNAcentral.